GCCCGCGUGGCUCAGUGGUAGAGCGUGACCAAUGAACCAGGAGGUCAGGGUUCCAUUCCCUGUUGGGGCA
This 70-nucleotide transfer RNA is filed under the name Myotis davidii. It matches the Rfam family "tRNA". Rfam says of the family: Transfer RNA (tRNA) molecules are approximately 80 nucleotides in length. Their secondary structure includes four short double-helical elements and three loops (D, anti-codon, and T loops). Further hydrogen bonds mediate the characteristic L-shaped molecular structure. tRNAs have two regions of fundamental functional importance: the anti-codon, which is responsible for specific mRNA codon recognition, and the 3' end, to which the tRNAs corresponding amino acid is attached (by aminoacyl-tRNA synthetases). tRNAs cope with the degeneracy of the genetic code in two manners: having more than one tRNA (with a specific anti-codon) for a particular amino acid; and 'wobble' base-pairing, i.e. permitting non-standard base-pairing at the 3rd anti-codon position. Lineage: Eukaryota; Metazoa; Chordata; Mammalia; Chiroptera; Vespertilionidae. The record is from Rfam by way of RNAcentral.